This 253-nucleotide ribosomal RNA is filed under the name uncultured bacterium. RNAcentral describes it as "partial 16S ribosomal RNA". It matches the Rfam family "Bacterial small subunit ribosomal RNA", at positions 524 to 776 of the family's 1533-position model. The record is from RNAcentral.
UACAGAGGUCCCAAGCGUUGUUCGGAUUCACUGGGCGUAAAGGGUGCGUAGGUGGUUGGGCAAGUCUGAUGUGAAAUCUCCGGGCUUAACCCGGAAAUGGCAUUGGAAACUGCUUGGCUAGAGUGUUGGAGGGGGGACUGGAAUUCUCGGUGUAGCAGUGAAAUGCGUAGAUAUCGAGAGGAACACCAGUGGCGAAGGCGAGUCCCUGGACAACUACUGACACUGAGGCACGAAAGCUAGGGGAGCAAACAGG